RNAcentral lists this ribosomal RNA (468 nucleotides) under uncultured bacterium. Its description in RNAcentral is "partial 16S ribosomal RNA". It matches the Rfam family "Bacterial small subunit ribosomal RNA", at positions 28 to 507 of the family's 1533-position model. The record is from RNAcentral.
GAUGAACGCUGGCGGCGUGCUUAACACAUGCAAGUCGAACGGUGAAGGCGGAGCUUGCUCUGCUGGAUCAGUGGCGAACGGGUGAGUAACACGUGAGCAAUCUGCCCCUGACUCUGGGAUAAGCGCUGGAAACGGCGUCUAAUACUGGAUACGAGCUGCGAAGGCAUCUUCAGCAGCUGGAAAGAACUUCGGUCAGGGAUGGGCUCGCGGCCUAUCAGCUUGUUGGUGGGGUAACGGCUCACCAAGGCGUCGACGGGUAGCCGGCCUGAGAGGGUGACCGGCCACACUAGGACUGGGACACGGCCCAGACUCCUACGGGAGGCAGGGGUGGGGAAUAUUGCACAAGGGGCGAAGGCCUGAUGCAGCAACGCCGCGUGGGGGACGACGGCCUUCGGGUUGUGUACCUCUUUUAGCUGGGAAGAAGCGAAAAUGACGGUACCUGCAGAAUAAGCGCCGGCUAACUACGUG